GACGAACGCUGGCGGCGUGCUUAACACAUGCAAGUCGAACGGAAAGGCCUGCUUUCCCUUGGGGAUUGCGGGUACACGAGUGGCUAACGGGUGAGUAACACGUGAGUGGUCGGCCCCCAACUUGGGUAUAAGCCUGGGAAACUGGGUCUAAUUUCCGAUAGGACUGCAGGGUGCUGCCUGUGUUGGAAAACUAUUUUCUAGUGGCUGGGGAUGAGCUCGCGGCCUAUCAGCGUGUUGCUGGGGUAAUGGCCUACCAAGGCGGGGACGGGUAGCCGGCCGGAGAGGGUGGACGGUGAGAUUGGGACACGGAUAAGGCCCAGACUGCUACGGGAGGUAGGAGUGGGGAAUAUUGCACAAUGGGCGGGAGCCUGAUGCAGCGCGGGCGCGUGGAGGAUGACGGGCUUCGGGUUGUCAACUGCUUGGGAAGGAGAGGAAGGCACCUAGUUGGAAGGGUGGUGACGGUAGUGGUAGAAGAAGCACCGGCUAACUACGUG
Molecule: ribosomal RNA, 494 nt
Filed under: uncultured bacterium
Lineage: Bacteria
Description: partial 16S ribosomal RNA
Rfam family: Bacterial small subunit ribosomal RNA
Source: RNAcentral